CAACCUGCCCACCACUUGGGGAUAACCUUGCGAAAGUAAGACUAAUACCCAAUGAUAUCUCUANNAGACAUCUGAAAGAGAUUAAAGAUUUAUCGGUGAUGGAUGGGGAUGCGUCUGAUUAGCUUGUUGGCGGGGUAACGGCCCACCAAGGCGACGAUCAGUAGGGGUUCUGAGAGGAAGGUCCCCCACAUUGGAACUGAGACACGGUCCAAACUCCUACGGGAGGCAGCAGUGAGGAAUAUUGGUCAAUGGACGAGAGUCUGAACCAGCCAAGUAGCGUGCAGGAUGACGGCCCUAUGGGUUGUAAACUGCUUUUAUAAGGGAAUAAAGUGAGUCUCGUGAGACUUUUUGCAUGUACCUUAUGAAUAAGGACCGGCUAAUUCCGUGCCAGCAGCCGCGGUAAUACGGAAGGUCCGGGCGUUAUCCGGAUUUAUUGGGUUUAAAGGAAGCGUAGGCCGGAGAUUAAGCGUGUUGUGAAAUGUAGAUGCUCAACAUCUGCACUGCAGCGCGAACUGGUUUCCUUGAGUACGCACUAAGUGGGCGGAAUUCGUGGUGUAGCGGUGAAAUGCUUAGAUAUCACGAAGAACUCCGAUUG
Molecule: ribosomal RNA, 595 nt
Filed under: uncultured Bacteroidota bacterium
Lineage: Bacteria; Pseudomonadati; Bacteroidota
Description: bacterial SSU rRNA
Rfam family: Bacterial small subunit ribosomal RNA
Source: RNAcentral